This 459-nucleotide ribosomal RNA is filed under the name uncultured bacterium. RNAcentral describes it as "partial 16S ribosomal RNA". It matches the Rfam family "Bacterial small subunit ribosomal RNA", at positions 338 to 795 of the family's 1533-position model. The record is from RNAcentral.
CCUACGGGGGGCAGCAGUGAGGAAUAUUGGUCAAUGGCCGCAGGGCUGAACCAGCCAAGUCGCGUGAGGGAUGACGGUCCUAUGGAUUGUAAACCUCUUUUGGCAGGGAGCAAAGGGCGCCACGUGUGGCGCUUUGCGAGUACCUGAAGAAAAAGCAUCGGCUAACUCCGUGCCAGCAGCCGCGGUAAUACGGAGGAUGCGAGCGUUAUCCGGAUUUAUUGGGUUUAAAGGGUGCGCAGGCGGAAUGUCAAGUCAGCGGUAAAAUUUCGGGGCUCAACCCCGUCGUGCCGUUGAAACUGGCGUUCUUGAGUGAGCGAGAAGUAUGCGGAAUGCGUGGUGUAGCGGUGAAAUGCAUAGAUAUCACGCAGAACUCCGAUUGCGAAGGCAGCAUACCGGCGCUCAACUGACGCUCAUGCACGAAAGCGUGGGUAUCGAACAGGAUUAGAUACCCCGGUAGUC